Molecule: unclassified non-coding RNA, 378 nt
Filed under: plant metagenome
Description: partial contains 5.8S ribosomal RNA, internal transcribed spacer 2, and large subunit ribosomal RNA
Rfam family: 5.8S ribosomal RNA (bases 1-105)
Source: RNAcentral
AAGCUGCGAUAAGUAAUGUGAAUUGCAGAAUUCAGUGAAUCAUCGAAUCUUUGAACGCACCUUGCGCUCCUUGGUAUUCCUUGGAGCAUGCCUGUUUGAGUAUCAUGAAAUCUUCAAAGUAAAUCUUUUGUUAACUCAAUUGGUUUCUACUUUGGUAUUGGAGGUCUUUGCAGCUUCACACCUGCUCCUCUUUGUUCAUUAGCUGGAUCUCAGUGUUAUGCUUGGUUCCACUCGGCGUGAUAAGUUAUCUAUCGCUGAGGACACUGUAAAAGGUGGCCAAGGUAAAUGCAGAUGAACCGCUUCUAAUAGUCCAUUGACUUGGACAAUACUUUUAUGAUCUGAUCUCAAAUCAGGUAGGACUACCCGCUGAACUUAAGC